Molecule: ribosomal RNA, 253 nt
Filed under: uncultured bacterium
Lineage: Bacteria
Description: partial 16S ribosomal RNA
Rfam family: Bacterial small subunit ribosomal RNA
Source: RNAcentral
UACGAGCGGCCCAAACGUUAUUCGGAUUUACUGGGCUUAAAGAGUUCGUAGGCGGCGCGGCCAGUCGGGUGUGAAAGCCCUCGGCUCAACCGAGGAAUUGCGCUCUAAACUACCGUGCUUGAGGAAGCUAGAGGUGAGCGGAACUGAUGGUGGAGCGGUGAAAUGCGUUGAUAUCAUCAGGAACACCGGAGGCGAAGGCGGCUCACUGGGGCUUGUCUGACGCUGAGGAACGAAAGCCAGGGGAGCGAACGGG